This is a non-coding RNA of Dama dama (fallow deer), 73 nucleotides long. The record is from the annotation of a RefSeq genome assembly. NCBI's taxonomy places the organism in Eukaryota, Metazoa, Chordata, Mammalia, Artiodactyla, Cervidae.
UCCCUGGUGGUUCAGUGGCUAAGACUUUGCAUUGCCAAUGCAAGGGACCCAGGUUCAAUCCCUGGUUGGGGAA